This 276-nucleotide ribosomal RNA is filed under the name uncultured prokaryote. RNAcentral's name for it is "partial 16S ribosomal RNA". It matches the Rfam family "Bacterial small subunit ribosomal RNA", at positions 526 to 801 of the family's 1533-position model. The record is from RNAcentral.
CGUAGGGUGCGAGCGUUGUCCGGAAUUAUUGGGCGUAAAGAGCUUGUAGGCGGUUUGUCGCGUCGGAAGUGAAAACUCGGGGCUUAACUUCGAGCUUGCUUCCGAUACGGGCUGACUAGAGGAAGUUAGGGGAGAACGGAAUUCCUGGUGGAGCGGUGGAAUGCGCAGAUAUCAGGAGGAACACCGGUGGCGAAGGCGGUUCUCUGGGACUUUCCUGACGCUGAGAAGCGAAAGCGUGGGGAGCAAACAGGCUUAGAUACCCUGGUAGUCCCUGAG